Molecule: long non-coding RNA, 407 nt
Organism: Odocoileus virginianus texanus
Lineage: Eukaryota; Metazoa; Chordata; Mammalia; Artiodactyla; Cervidae
Source: RefSeq, a predicted model, not a curated record
UCACUGGUAUUAACACAUUCGGUCACAGCCACAGCCUUGUGAAGAAGGUCCUAGUUUUCAGUUGUGCGUGUGCACACACAUCUAUACCGGGCACACACCAAAGAGGAACAGGCUACAGAGAGAGCCGGCUGCUUGGAGCGACAUGUGCUGAAGAUGUCCGAGUUGCAUUAAAUGAAAACACGAGCGACUGAACACCAGCAGAGGACCAGUGCACUCCUGCCUGGGCGGACUCCCAGUCAGGAAAUAAGGUCAGUGAAACAGCUGCAAUCGUGAAAAAGGGACCAACAGCCAGGAGAGAGAAACAAAGAAAAGGUUUGCUGCUAUCCUAGUGUGAUGGUGAGGAAGAAGCAACUCCGUGUAAGAUGUCGAGUGUGAGAUUUCCUUGCAAUGCUAUUUUUUUUUAAUGU